This is a long non-coding RNA of Mauremys mutica (yellowpond turtle), 244 nucleotides long. RefSeq lists it as uncharacterized. Lineage: Eukaryota; Metazoa; Chordata; Testudines; Geoemydidae. The transcript has 4 exons. The record is from RefSeq and is a predicted model, not a curated record.
UAAGAGUCAGUGCUGAGCUUCUUGCAGGCUGGUGCUUUUUAUGAGCUGUUAUCAAUGGGACCACUCAAGGACAUAUAUUCCCAGUGUCUUUAAUGUUGCACGGAAGUCCUUCAAGGAACAGGGUCCUUAUUAGCUGUUUUUGAAGAGGAUCCCAUAUCUGAGGCAACUGCAGAUGGGUGGACACUGCAUGUAAAAUGGCCACAUGGGUCUUAAGACUCUGCUUCCCCUGGGCAGAAAACAUUUG